Molecule: ribosomal RNA, 276 nt
Filed under: uncultured prokaryote
Description: partial 16S ribosomal RNA
Rfam family: Bacterial small subunit ribosomal RNA
Source: RNAcentral
UACGUAGGGGCUAGCGUUAUCCGGAAUUACUGGGCGUAAAGGGUGCGUAGGCGGUCUUUCAAGCCAGAAGUGAAAGGCUACGGCUCAACCGUAGUAAGCUUUUGGAACUGUAAGACUUGAGUGCAGGAGAGGAGAGUGGAAUUCCUAGUGUAGCGGUGAAAUGCGUAGAUAUUAGGAGGAACACCAGUUGCGAAGGCGACUCUCUGGACUGUAACUGACACUGAGGCACGAAAGCGUGGGGAGCAAACAGGAUUAGAUACCCCGGUAGUCCCUGAG